RNAcentral lists this ribosomal RNA (270 nucleotides) under uncultured bacterium. RNAcentral's name for it is "partial 16S ribosomal RNA". It matches the Rfam family "Bacterial small subunit ribosomal RNA", at positions 30 to 303 of the family's 1533-position model. The record is from RNAcentral.
AUUGAACGCUGGCGGCAUGCCUUACACAUGCAAGUCGAACGGCAGCGCGGGAGCAAUCCUGGCGGCGAGUGGCGAACGGGUGAGUAAUAUAUCGGAACGUGCCCUGUAGCGGGGGAUAACCUAUCGAAAGAUGGACUAAUACCGCAUACGCUCUACGGAGGAAAGACGGGGUCGCAAGACCUCGCACUAUAGGAGCGGCCGAUAUCGGAUUAGCUAGNGGCGGGGUAAAGCCCACCAAGGCAACGAUCCGUAGCUGGUCUGAGAGGAUGA